Non-coding RNA from Phalacrocorax carbo (great cormorant), 2064 nucleotides. The record is from RefSeq and is a predicted model, not a curated record. NCBI's taxonomy places the organism in Eukaryota, Metazoa, Chordata, Aves, Suliformes, Phalacrocoracidae.
AGUGAAUGAGAAGUCUGUCCCCUACAGGGUCCCAAAUUGAGUUUUGAUGCAGUAACCUUGCAACUUGAGCUAAAACUGGUUUGCCUGUUCCAGAAGGCAUACCAGAUGUCCUCACCUGACCAUGGCAGUUUUCUGAAUUUGAACUGGCCGAGCCUGCGGGCUAAAACCUGCAUGGGCACUUCUACCUGGGCUGGCAGGUGGCUCAUCCCCCAGACAGAGAUGACUUUGUGGUGUUGCUUCCUGAAUAUGAAGAACUACCAUGGACUUUUCCUACAUAACAUUUAAAGCCAGCACACUGAGUAAGGGUGUAUGAGAAACAAGAAACACAGAGGGGUUGUUUAGAUAAACAGCAGUGAACAGCAUUUGACAAAGUGCCUCCCAGGUGACAUGCUCCUUUGGCAGAGGAGCCGGCUGAGGCAAGGUACAUCUCCGUCAGCCCUUCACACACCUGUGCUUCUCUUCUACCAAUCCAGCUGACACGCAGCACAGGGAUGCCUUUGAAUUUCACCCAUGCGAGUCCAAAAAAUAAAUUAAAGUUCUGUAUGACUGACUUGGACAAAUGUGCACCCUUGACUUGACCGCUGAUGACUUACAUAUCCCCUCAUAUGCCUGCGCUGAUGGGCAGACCCCCCGGGGCACUGUUGGCGUGCUGGUUGGCAGCACAGAGGCAUCUGUUUAAGAGCGUGGUGCAGAUGCAUCAUAGUUUAUUUCUUGUAACAAACAACCGCAGACCUGUGUAGCAUUUAAUUAAGGCACACUAGCAAAUUCUUCAAACAAAGAAGCCCCUACAGGCAAUGCCUGCAACAGAUGGUGCUCAGUGUACCCAGUUAGGCCAGGGUUCAACCAGAGCUGGCGCAGAACCUGUAUAGCCCUACUGCUUUGAUGUGAAAAGCACACUAAGUGAUGUGAGCUUGGGUCCAGGGCUAUGGUAGUAUGGUUAUCCAGCUCCCAAACUGACCCAUAAAUGAUAGUCAUGUAGAUGAGUUGCUGUUGGAAAUCCUUGAGCUGCAGGAGAUCAAAUCACCCUCUGGUUCAUGGAAAGUGUGAAGAUGUGACCAACAUUUCUAGGAGAAAGACAGGAGCAUUUCAAGGUGAACAGCAGUGCAUAACACCAGCUCAAAUGCAUUUCUUUAGCCACUCUGACUACCAAGGGUGAAGAGGAUGGGCUUGAACCAGGGAAAUCAAUAUCCUCAGCUGCCUGCAGCAAGAGCAGCCCCACUGGGCACCCCGGAGGUCUGGCAGGGCUCUUUUUCAGCUCCCUACCUUGGUAGGGAGGGCCUAAUGCUUUUGCUUAACUGAUGUUCAUAGUGUGCAUCCCAGCUGGCCGAGGCCUGAGUGUACUGUGGGAGUAUUUCACGGCAUCAGCAAGGGAAAGGGGAACAGCUGGGAGGUGGAUGCCACCUCUAAGGAGUGGUGGAGGGAAGCUGUGAGUUCUUGAGGGUGUUUGGCCAAGAGCCUGGUGGCUGCAUUAAGUGUAGCCCUUGGUAGGCCAUUUAUCAUAAACUGUGCAACCAGCCACUGAUCAACAGCAAUUACUGUUUUACAGCUUCCAAACAAUGUUAGUUGCAGGCUGUGUUUGCUGUCAUAAUGUAAAAACCAGGCAGUUAUAGGAUGAAAAAGAUACAGUCUUUGCAGGGAUUUUGUGCUUUUCUUUUAAAGUUAACAGGUGUUCCUGGUCACCCUGCAAAACCACAGUGAAAAUAUCUGCAUACCACUGAAAUGAAGCAACUCCAAACCAACCCCUGUGAAGAAAAUCCCAUCCUCUGCUUUUGUUUUGUAGAAAUGAAUGGGCAAAAAAAGCUUCAACUAUGGUUUUUCAUAAUGAUAGAGUGGGAGCUUUCACCACCGUCCCAGUUUUGGACUGCGUCUGACGCAGGCUCAUGGAGACAGGGGACUGUUAUUCGAGCUGUACACAGUUUCCUGGCCCUACAGCUCCAAAGGGGUGUCUGCGUGCCUUAGGACAGAUCUGAACCACCUCCAGACUCCAGAAGCUGUAUACUGAAAUACUCAGGUCUCUGAUUGUCAGAGGACUGCUCAAAGGUGAGAAGAUGAGCUCCCAUUUGG